This 1072-nucleotide long non-coding RNA is filed under the name Homo sapiens (human). Its description in RNAcentral is "novel transcript". Lineage: Eukaryota; Metazoa; Chordata; Mammalia; Primates; Hominidae. The record is from RNAcentral.
GCAGGGGCUGUGGGGAGCGGUCGCUGCAGGGUUGGACGGAUGCUAGGCCAAGGUGGGGCCAGCGGCACGGGUUCCCAGGUGAGUGGGGCUGGGACCGGAUGGGAGGGAGUGACCUCCCCAUCACGUGGAGGCUGAGUUGAUGACGAUGGGAAGAGCAGCGGGGGCCAAAAAGGGAGGGACGGCCCGGCACGCCGUGCACUCGAUGCCCAACGGGCCCCCAUUUAAGGUAAGCAUUUGUUUAACUGCACCGUGACACACAGUAUUUUCUGAAUUUAAGUUGAACUCAGUUCAACAAAUGUUUAUGAACUGUCUACGGAGGAGAGGCACUGAAGUGCAGCGAUGACUCAACGCGUACUUGAGCUUCAAAAGGCUGCCAGGGAAUGUUGCAGUGAAUUUGCCUGACUCCAGCGAAUGGUGCCUGUGAAGUCCAGGAGCAUAGAGCUGGUGUAAGGAAGCUCAAAACCCAUUUGCAGAGAGAAAGAAGAUAAUGCCUCCGAAUGAGAACCUUUUCAGUUCCUGUUCUUUGGAAACACUUUGGGAAAUUUUUGAGGCCAGGAGUUCCAAGCUGCAGUGUGUGAUUAUCGUGUCUGUGAAUGGCCACGGCACUCCAGCCUGGGCAACAUAGCAAGACCUCAUCUCUUUAAAAAAGACAGGUCUGAGCAGCUCCUAGGGGCCAAUCCCUAUUCGAGGCAACAGCAGAGGGAAGACAAGAAGAUGGCUACAUGCACCCACCACCUGACUGCAGCAGCUCACAGGCCCCCCAGGGCUGGCAUUGCCUGACCCAGGGAAUGUGGCAAGGGGUGCCACCAAGGCAAACACAGGAGGAAUCUUUAGACGGUGUGCUGGUCCCCACACCAGCCUCUGACUUGAAGUGCCUCCAUUCCCCUAGCAAAUGCAUGAAACAAAAGUUGUGCAGGCCUCACGUCUGAUUGAUUCUCUUCUCUUUGUGGACAUACGUUAGACUUAGAAAUAAACUCGUAUUAAAAGAUAUUUUUAAUGGCUUUUUCUUCCCUUACUUAGAGGCAAAUAAUGAUAAGCUAUACUUCAGUAUGUAUUUUAGGCUUGAAAUCAU